This 1001-nucleotide long non-coding RNA is filed under the name Numida meleagris (helmeted guineafowl). RNAcentral's name for it is "lncRNA (ENSNMEG00000007765.1)". Lineage: Eukaryota; Metazoa; Chordata; Aves; Galliformes; Numididae. The record is from RNAcentral.
AUGCCCGCGGGGGAGGCCGGGCUGCUCUUUUGUGGCCGCUCUUCCAGCCCGGCCCUAUCCGUGCUGGGGGAACGCCGCGCAGCCUCGCCGUGCCGGGUUUGCUUUGGCCGGAGGCCAACGGCACCGGGGGGGACCGGCCCCUUCCUGCCGUUACACGGCCAUAAACGCGCCCCAAAGGUGGGGAUGCUCCAGGCAGCGCUUCCCAGGACCUCCGGCCUCCGAGGGGGCCAUCCCUGUCCCUGUCCCUGUCCUUGCCCUGCAGUGGUCGGACAGACCCGGGCACCGCGAUGGGGUGGGAGCGGAGGGAUGGAGCCCCAGCACAGCUCGGGGAACCCCUUCCCAGCGCCAAGCAGCACCAGCGGGGAGAGGGCACGUGAAGAGCGGUGGGAGACCCGCGUCCCCAUCGCAGCCCCAGGGGGUGACCUCAGCUCGGCUUUACUCACUCAUUUCCCGUCACCCCGCAGCGCGGGACUGGGGAGGGAGCGCACCAGGAGCACAACGCGGCCUCAGAACGCCCUCGUGCCCUUAGCAGCCAGGAAGGAUCCCAGCCGCCCGCAAGCAUCUCUCCAUCUCCAUCGGGAAAGUGACCCAAAACAGUUCAUCUCAAGUUCGCUGACACUGAGUCUGUGCCCGGGAUCUGCUGGGACGAGGUUCAGAGGUGAAGGGACCUGUCUGUGCCCAUGUGAGGAGCAGCACUGAGCUGAGCUAGGGCCAGACCUGUGGCUUCUGACCAGGCUGUGAUAUGAGCAUGGCUCCUGAGCAGCAGCAUGUCAGCACCACGGGUCUGGCCAGCACAUGACACUUUCUGUUUAAAACAACGGUGUUGCAAGGCACAGCUUUAAAGUCCUGUUGGGAAACAGUCUUGUGGGUGGCAGGGAAAUGAAUAGCCUUCAUCCAGUGAUGCCUGAAAGCAAAAAAAAAAAAAAAAAAAAUGGCAAAAAAAAGCAAAAAAAAAACAAGAAAAAAAUAAAAAAAAAAAAAAAAAAAAAAAAAAAAAAAAA